Molecule: ribosomal RNA, 680 nt
Filed under: uncultured Bacilli bacterium
Lineage: Bacteria; Bacillati; Bacillota; Bacilli
Description: bacterial SSU rRNA
Rfam family: Bacterial small subunit ribosomal RNA
Source: RNAcentral
GAGAGGAGCUUGCUCUUCUUGGUAUGAGUUGCGAACGGGUGAGUAACGCGUAGGUAACCUGCCUUGUAGCGGGGGAUAACUAUUGGAAACGAUAGCUAAUACCGCAUAACAAUGGGUGACUCAUGUCAUUUAUUUGAAAGGGGCAAAUGCUCCACUACAAGAUGGACCUGCGUUGUAUUAGCUAGUAGGUGAGGUAACGGCUCACCUAGGCGACGAUACAUAGCCGACCUGAGAGGGUGAUCGGCCACACUGGGACUGAGACACGGCCCAGACUCCUACGGGAGGCAGCAGUAGGGAAUCUUCGGCAAUGGGGGCAACCCUGACCGAGCAACGCCGCGUGAGUGAAGAAGGUUUUCGGAUCGUAAAGCUCUGUUGUAAGUCAAGAACGAGUGUGAGAGUGGAAAGUUCACACUGUGACGGUAGCUUACCAGAAAGGGACGGCUAACUACGUGCCAGCAGCCGCGGUAAUACGUAGGUCCCGAGCGUUGUCCGGAUUUAUUGGGCGUAAAGCGAGCGCAGGCGGUUUGAUAAGUCUGAAGUUAAAGGCUGUGGCUCAACCAUAGUUCGCUUUGGAAACUGUCAAACUUGAGUGCAGAAGGGGAGAGUGGAAUUCCAUGUGUAGCGGUGAAAUGCGUAGAUAUAUGGAGGAACACCGGGUGGCGAAAGCGGCUCUCUGGUCU